UGGGGAAUAUUGCGCAAUGGGGGAAACCCUGACGCAGCAACGCCGCGUGAGCGAUGAAGGCCUUCGGGUCGUAAAGCUCUGUCUUCUGGGACGAUAAUGACGGUACCAGAGGAGGAAGCCACGGCUAACUACGUGCCAGCAGCCGCGGUAAUACGUAGGUGGCGAGCGUUGUCCGGAAUUACUGGGCGUAAAGGGUGCGUAGGUGGUUUUUUAAGUGGGAUGUGAAAUCCAUGGGCUUAACCCAUGAACUGCAUUCCAAACUGGAAGACUAGAGUGCAGGAGAGGAAAGCGGAAUUCCCAGUGUAGCGGUGAAAUGCGUAGAUAUUGGGAGGAACACCAGUGGCGAAGGCGGCUUUCUAGACUGUAACUGACACUGAGGCACGAAAGCGUGGGGAGCAAACA
RNAcentral lists this ribosomal RNA (402 nucleotides) under uncultured bacterium. RNAcentral's name for it is "bacterial SSU rRNA". It matches the Rfam family "Bacterial small subunit ribosomal RNA", at positions 355 to 774 of the family's 1533-position model. The record is from RNAcentral.